RNAcentral lists this unclassified non-coding RNA (331 nucleotides) under soil metagenome. RNAcentral's name for it is "partial contains 5.8S ribosomal RNA, internal transcribed spacer 2, and large subunit ribosomal RNA". The stretch from base 1 to 120 matches the Rfam family "5.8S ribosomal RNA", at positions 35 to 154 of the family's 154-position model. The record is from RNAcentral.
GAUGAAGAACGUAGCGAAAUGCGAUAAGUAAUGUGAAUUGCAGAAUUCAGUGAAUCAUCGAAUCUUUGAACGCACAUUGCGCCCCCUGGUAUUCCGGGGGGCAUGCCUGUUCGAGCGUCAUUUCACCACUCAAGCCUCGCUUGGUAUUGGGCAACGCGGUCCGCCGCGUGCCUCAAAUCGACCGGCUGGGUCUUCUGUCCCCUAAGCGUUGUGGAAACUAUUCGCUAAAGGGUGUUCGGGAGGCUACGCCGUAAAACAACCCCAUUUCUAAGGUUGACCUCGGAUCAGGUAGGGAUACCCGCUGAACUUAAGCAUAUCAAUACGCGGAGGA